GAUGAACGCUGGCGGCGUGCCUAAUACAUGCAAGUCGAGCGAACAGACGAGGAGCUUGCUCCUCUGACGUUAGCGGCGGACGGGUGAGUAACACGUGGAUAACCUACCUAUAAGACUGGGAUAACUUCGGGAAACCGGAGCUAAUACCGGAUAACAUGUUGAACCGCAUGGUUCAACAGUGAAAGACGGUCUUGCUGUAACUUAUAGAUGGAUCCGCGCCGCAUUAGCUAGUUGGUAAGGUAACGGCGUACCAAGGCAACGAUGCGUAGCCGACCUGAGAGGGUGAUCGGCCACACUGGAACUGAGACACGGUCCAGACUCCUGCGGGAGGCCGCAGUAGGGAAUCUUCCGCAAUGGGCGAAAGCCUGACGGAGCAACGCCGCGUGAGUGAAGAAGGUCUUCGGAUCGUAAAACUCUGUUAUUAGGGAAGAACAAAUGUGUAAGUAACUAUGCACGUCUUGACGGUACCUAAUCAGAAAGCCACGGCUAACUACGUG
Molecule: ribosomal RNA, 497 nt
Filed under: uncultured bacterium
Lineage: Bacteria
Description: partial 16S ribosomal RNA
Rfam family: Bacterial small subunit ribosomal RNA
Source: RNAcentral